Long non-coding RNA from Mus caroli (Ryukyu mouse), 696 nucleotides. RefSeq lists it as uncharacterized. The record is from RefSeq and is a predicted model, not a curated record. Lineage: Eukaryota; Metazoa; Chordata; Mammalia; Rodentia; Muridae.
UGCUGUGAUGCAGGAAGAUGCUGGGGCUCAGGCCAUGGACCUGCAACCUCAAGGACCAUGAGCUACAUGAACUUCUUGUAUUCUUUGUUACUACAACUCUAGUGAUGAGAUCUGGUGAUAAAAAUCUAUUUUCCAGCUUGGUAACCAAGGGAUGUCCCUUCUAGAAGAAUCUUCAGAGUGUAUCACAUGUAGAAGAUGGACCAAAUGCCCUUACAUCAGUUAUACUUCCUCAGGUAGUUUCAGCUUAAAUGGUCAACUCAGCAAUCAACGAUGGGUCACCUUUAACUCCUCUGGAGAACUCGGUGCUUCCUUCCCAAGGAUGCUCCUCUAUUGCCAAGGAGUCACACUCUCAGCUGCUUGCUUAGAGAACUUGUGUGAGUCCAAAGCUUCUUCAUGAAGAAGAAUCUCUUCAUAGGGCUGAAAGAGUGGAAGUUAUCAGUGGAAGAAAAUUUAACUUGACAGAUACGAGGACAUAGAAUCACCAGGGUGAGAAGCCCCUUGGAAGAUCUACCCAAUUAUGUCAGGACAACUCAUGGGCUGGGAGCCCAGGCUGGAUAAAGAGUAGGAAGCAGAUUGACCGCCAACAUUCCUUCUCUGUCUCCUGAUUGUGGACUGAAUGCUUAGCUGUCUCACAGCCCCACUACCAUGCUGUCCUGCUAUGGUGGACUGCAGGCCUUCAAACUGUCAAUGGAAAUA